This 301-nucleotide ribosomal RNA is filed under the name uncultured bacterium. RNAcentral describes it as "partial 16S ribosomal RNA". It matches the Rfam family "Bacterial small subunit ribosomal RNA", at positions 509 to 809 of the family's 1533-position model. The record is from RNAcentral.
CAGCCGCCGCGGUAAGACAAAGGAUGCAAGCGUUAUCCAAAAUGAUUGGGUGUAAAGCGUCUGUAGGUGGCUUUUCAAGCCCGCCGUCAAAUCCUAGGGCUCAACCUUGGAUAGGCAGUGGAAACUACCAAGCUGGAGUACGGUAGGGGUAGAGGGAAUUUCCGGUGGAGUGGUAAAAUGCGUUGAGAUCGGAAAGAACACCAACGGCGAAAGCACUCUGCUGGGCCGACACUGACACUGAGAGACGAAAGCUAGGGGAGAAAAUGGGAUUAGAUACCCCCGUAGUCCCUGUCUCUUAUAA